GGUCCGCCGCCCGCGACACUGCGAGAAGUCCAUUGAACCUUAUCAUUUAGAGGAAGGAGAAGUCGUAACAAGGUUUCCGUAGGUGAACCUGCGGAAGGAUCAUUG
Molecule: ribosomal RNA, 105 nt
Filed under: Polystachya bella
Lineage: Eukaryota; Viridiplantae; Streptophyta; Magnoliopsida; Asparagales; Orchidaceae
Also listed under: 3 other names
Description: partial 18S ribosomal RNA
Rfam family: Eukaryotic small subunit ribosomal RNA
Source: RNAcentral